RNAcentral lists this transfer RNA (77 nucleotides) under Phenylobacterium sp. RNAcentral describes it as "tRNA-Met". It matches the Rfam family "tRNA". Rfam says of the family: Transfer RNA (tRNA) molecules are approximately 80 nucleotides in length. The record is from RNAcentral. RNAcentral also lists the same sequence under 2 other names. Lineage: Bacteria; Pseudomonadati; Pseudomonadota; Alphaproteobacteria; Caulobacterales; Caulobacteraceae.
GGCUGGGUAGCUCAGCUGGUUAGAGCGGUGGAUUCAUAACCCACAGGUCGACGGUUCAAGUCCGUCUCCAGCCACCA